GUGCCAGCCGCCGCGGUAAUACAGAGGUCUCAAGCGUUGUUCGGAUUCAUUGGGCGUAAAGGGUGCGUAGGCGGCGCGGUAAGUCGGGUGUGAAAUUUCGAGGCUUAACUUCGAAACUGCAUUCGAUACUGCCGUGCUCGAGGACUGGAGAGGAGACUGGAAUUUACGGUGUAGCGGUGAAAUGCGUAGAUAUCGUAAGGAAGACCAGUGGCGAAGGCGGGUCUCUGGACAGUUCCUGACGCUGAGGCACGAAGGCCAGGGGAGCAAACGGGAUUAGAUACCCCGGUAGUCC
This 292-nucleotide ribosomal RNA is filed under the name uncultured bacterium. RNAcentral's name for it is "partial 16S ribosomal RNA". It matches the Rfam family "Bacterial small subunit ribosomal RNA", at positions 505 to 796 of the family's 1533-position model. The record is from RNAcentral.